This 459-nucleotide ribosomal RNA is filed under the name uncultured bacterium. RNAcentral's name for it is "partial 16S ribosomal RNA". It matches the Rfam family "Bacterial small subunit ribosomal RNA", at positions 338 to 795 of the family's 1533-position model. The record is from RNAcentral.
CCUACGGGCGGCAGCAGUGAGGAAUAUUGGUCAAUGGGCGAGAGCCUGAACCAGCCAAGUAGCGUGAAGGAUGACAGCCCUAUGGGUUUUAAACUUCUUUUAUAAGGGAAUAAAGUGCCCCACGUGUGGGGUUUUGUAUGUACCUUAUGAAUAAGCAUCGGCUAAUUCCGUGCCAGCAGCCGCGGUAAUACGGAAGAUCCGAGCGUUAUCCGGAUUUAUUGGGUUUAAAGGGAGCGUAGGCGGUUCCAUAAGUCAGUGGUAAAAUCUUGCGGCUCAACCGUACAUUGCCGUUGAAACUGGGGGACUUGAGUAUGGGAAGGGUACAUGGAAUUCGUGGUGUAGCGGUGAAAUGCUUAGAUAUCACGAAGAACUCCGAUCGCGAAGGCAUUGUACUGGAGUAAGACUGACGCUGAGGCUCGAAAGUGCGGGUAUCAAACAGGAUUAGAUACCCGGGUAGUC